RNA transcript from Prosopis cineraria, 1582 nucleotides. It is a transcript of the gene named nuclear matrix constituent protein 1, with no coding region annotated. NCBI's taxonomy places the organism in Eukaryota, Viridiplantae, Streptophyta, Magnoliopsida, Fabales, Fabaceae. The transcript has 10 exons. The record is from RefSeq and is a predicted model, not a curated record.
UCAAACAUGAUUGCGGAGCUCAGUAUCAGUAUGCCGCAACAGACUCACGCAGGAUCAAGGCAGGCAUAAAACACUUCCCGGUUCCACCAGCUAGUUACUCUCACUCAUUUUUCCCUCCAAAAUCGUCCCUUCCCAAUCCAACACCAAACACUCUUGCUCUCUUCUUCAAGGUUCCUUCUACUGAGAGAAACUCGCUUUUGGACUCGCAAUUCACCUGGGUGAAUCGCAAGAAAUUCUCAAUCGAUUUUUUUCUGUUGUUUUGAUUCUGAACAAGAUGGAGGAUUACUUGCAAUACAUGAAGGCAUUGCGCUUUCAAAUGAACGAUGUUGAGGAUCAAGCGGCAAAGAUUUCCGCGGAGGAGGAAAUGAAGUUGACGAACGUCCGCAUUUUGGAAAAAGACAUCGAGUCAGCAAAAUCUGAAAUGAGGCAACUUAGAGAGGAUAUUGAAACGAUGAGGAAGGCAAAGGGUGAGAUAUGCUCUAAAAUUUUGGAAAAACAGAGAAAGAUUUCCUCUUUGGAGUCUGACUCAUCUACGCUUAGCCAGACUCUUGAACUUAUACAGCAAGAGAGACUUGGGUUAUCUAACAAACUUGAAGAGAAGAGAUCUUACUACAGAAUGGUUGAAGAGGAUAUGGCUGCCAGAUUACAGCAACAAAAGGAAUGGAUUAGCUCUAAGAAAAAUAGCAGACAAGUAAAGGAGCAUGAAUUGGUGAAAGGUAAAGGUGAUGGACCAAGGAGCAUAUCUGCAGGGGAGGCAAUUGCUGAUAACAACUUUAUCAUGGAUAAUGCGGCGAGUGAUGCAAUGAAGAGAUUACAGAUCCAGUUGGAUUCAGCUAAAGCAAGACUUGAUGAGAUUUUACUUCUGAAAUCCAAUCUUUUUGCAGAGAAUAACAGGGUUCCUUAUCUGAAUCCUUUAAAACAGAAAAAUAUUUAUUACAUACGAUUCUGCUGCCUUAGUUUGGCUUGUUUUCCCAGUUUUGUGCUGCAAUUUACUUCCAAGUUGUGAGUGGUCUUACUUACAUAAUCUGUUUUUUCAAGUCAUGGACAAAGCUUUUUACAUCUGAAGUUAUUAAUUUUGCUGGAUGAGAAUAAAUGGACGUUAGAAAAGGUCCAAUCUUCAAACUUUCUAAAAGCUUUGAUUUUUAUUUGAUUUAUUCUCUAUGUUGUGUUAACUGGAUGAUUUUUUUUUUUUUUCCUUUCUAUAAUCAGCUAAAAUAGAUAUUGCUGUUUUGACAAUCAAUCUUUUCCAUUUAGAAGGGUUGGAGCCAAUAUCUCCGAUUCUCAACCAUAAAGUGGAAAGUUUUAUCUGCUGUUGUUAAUAUGUUAUUUCUCCAGUCAUGGAGAAAGAUUUUCAAUUCCUUAAUGUUUUCAUAAACAAAUUUGUAUUCACAAUUAUAUAUUUUGUGCUAUUAAAUAUGGUUUCCAUGAUUAACUUUCUUGCAUAUCAGAUGAGACAAGCUAUUGAAGAAGCAAAGUACAGAAUAAAUACUUUCAGAGAUAAAAGAAGCAGAUAUAACUGCUCUUGAAGAAGAAUAUAAUGCCCUUAUGUCUGACAAAGCUGGAGAAAUUGAGUACCUACGGU